Molecule: ribosomal RNA, 379 nt
Filed under: uncultured eukaryote
Lineage: Eukaryota
Description: partial 18S ribosomal RNA
Rfam family: Eukaryotic small subunit ribosomal RNA
Source: RNAcentral
CAAUAGCGUAUAUUUAAGUUGUUGCAGUUAAAAAGCUCGUAGUUGGAUUUCGGGUGGGAUUUGCCGGUCCGUCGUUACGAUGUGCACUGGCCAGUCCUAUCUUGUUGUCGGGGACUAGCUCCUUGGAUUCACUUCCUGGGACUAGGAGCUGACGAGGUUACUUUGAGUAAAUUAGAGUGUUCAAAGCAAGCCUACGCUCUGAAUACAUUAGCAUGGAAUAACACGAUAGGACUCUGGCUUAUCUUGUUGGUCUGUGAGACCAGAGUAAUGAUUAAGAGGGACAGUCGGGGACAUUCGUAUUUCAUUGUCAGAGGUGAAAUUCUUGGAUUUAUGAAAGACGAACUUCUGCGAAAGCAUUUGUCAAGGAUGUUUUCAUUAA